UGAGGAAUCUUGCGCAAUGGGGGCAACCCUGACGCAGCAACGCCGCGUGAGUGAAGAAGGCCUUCGGGUCGUAAAGCUCUGUCUAGCGGGAAGAACCUCCUUACGGUAAAUAGCUGUAAGGACUGACGGUACCGCUGAAGGAAGCUCCGGCUAACUCCGUGCCAGCAGCCGCGGUAAUACGGAGGGUGCAAGCGUUAUUCGGAAUCAUUGGGUGUAAAGCGCGUUUAUGCGGCUUGGUAAGUUAGAUGUGAAAGCUCUGGGCUUAACCCGGAAAGUGCAUUUAAAACUGCCUGGCUUGAGUCUCGUAGAUGAAGGUGGAAUUCCCAGUGUAGAGGUGAAAUUCGUAGAUAUUGGGAGGAACACCGGUGGCGAAGGCGACCUUCUGGGCGCAGACUGACGCUGAGACGCGAAAGCGUGGGGAGCAAACA
RNAcentral lists this ribosomal RNA (428 nucleotides) under uncultured prokaryote. RNAcentral describes it as "bacterial SSU rRNA". It matches the Rfam family "Bacterial small subunit ribosomal RNA", at positions 355 to 774 of the family's 1533-position model. The record is from RNAcentral.